GUCUAUGGCCAUGCUACCUGAACAAGCCCGAUCCCGUCUGAUCUCGGAAGCUAAGCAGGGUUGGGCUUGGUUAGUACUUGGAUGGGACACCACCUAGGAAGACCAAGUGCUGUAGGCA
RNAcentral lists this ribosomal RNA (118 nucleotides) under Pteropus alecto (black flying fox). Lineage: Eukaryota; Metazoa; Chordata; Mammalia; Chiroptera; Pteropodidae. The record is from RNAcentral.